This 292-nucleotide long non-coding RNA is filed under the name Nicotiana benthamiana. RNAcentral's name for it is "long non-coding RNA (NBEN_LNC003198)". Lineage: Eukaryota; Viridiplantae; Streptophyta; Magnoliopsida; Solanales; Solanaceae. The record is from RNAcentral.
UGAAAACUCACACGGCACCGUAAGGCGAUGGUAAGCAGAGAAAAACCAAAAUGAGAGAGUCUUGUUAGUGAAAACCCACACGACAUUAUAAGGCGAUGGUGAAUAGAGAAUGAGAUAGGUCAGCUAGUGAAAACUUGCAAAGGGCCCCAUUGAUCGAAAAGAAGAUCCUCAUAGCUCAUCGGUAUCAAUAGAGUCCUCGCAAGGUUUCUCGAUUUUUGAGGCAAAAUUUGUGAUGAAUUUCUAAGAGUCGGACGGUUUACACAGAUCAGACAUCCAGUCCAAAAAUUAUGUG